RNAcentral lists this transfer RNA (91 nucleotides) under Gammaproteobacteria bacterium. RNAcentral's name for it is "tRNA-Gln". The record is from RNAcentral. Lineage: Bacteria; Pseudomonadati; Pseudomonadota; Gammaproteobacteria.
GGCGUAGCCAAGCGGUAAGGCAACGGGUUUUGAUCCCGUCAUGCCCAGGUUCGACGGAUUCGCCGGGAUGCGAAUCCGGACGGCGCAGCCG